UACAGAGGGUGCGAGCGUUGUCCGGAAUCACUGGGCGUAAAGAGCGUGUAGGCGGCCCGGUAAGUCCGCUGUGAAAGUCCAGGGCUCAACCCUGGGAUGCCGGUGGAUACUGUCGGGCUCGAGUCCGGAAGAGGAGUGUGGAAUUCCUGGUGUAGCGGUGAAAUGCGCAGAGAUCGGGAGGAACACCAGUGGCGAAGGCGGCUACCUGGACCAGCACUGACACUGAGGCACGAAAGCGUGGGGAGCAAACAGG
RNAcentral lists this ribosomal RNA (253 nucleotides) under uncultured bacterium. Its description in RNAcentral is "partial 16S ribosomal RNA". It matches the Rfam family "Bacterial small subunit ribosomal RNA", at positions 524 to 776 of the family's 1533-position model. The record is from RNAcentral.